AUACGUAGGGUGCGAGCGUUGUCCGGAAUUACUGGGCGUAAAGAGCUCGUAGGUGGUUUGUCGCGUCGUCUGUGAAAUUCCGGGGCUUAACUCCGGGCGUGCAGGCGAUACGGGCAUAACUUGAGUACUCUAGGGGAGACUGGAAUUCCUGGUGUAGCGGUGAAAUGCGCAGAUAUCAGGAGGAACACCGGUGGCGAAGGCGGGUCUCUGGGCAGUAACUGACGCGGAGGAGCGAAAGCAUGGGUAGCGAACAGGAUUAGAUACCCGGGUAGUCCAUGCCGUAAACGGUGGGCGCUAGGUGUAGGGGUCUUCCACGACUUCUGUGCCGUAGCUAACGCAUUAAGCGCCCCGCCUGGGGAGUACGGCCGCAAGGCUAAAACUCAAAUGAAUUGGCGGGG
This 398-nucleotide ribosomal RNA is filed under the name uncultured bacterium. Its description in RNAcentral is "partial 16S ribosomal RNA". It matches the Rfam family "Bacterial small subunit ribosomal RNA", at positions 523 to 918 of the family's 1533-position model. The record is from RNAcentral.